UGGGACGAGAAGACCCUAUAGAAUUUAAUAUAAUCUUUAAAUUUAUUUGAGGGAAAGUAUAUUUUAUUUUAUUGAUUAUAUUUUAUUGGGAGGAUAAUUAAAUAGGGUUAACUUUAAUUUUAAUAAAUAAUUUAACAUUAAUUAAUGAAAUUUAACAAAGGAAUGAUUAUUAUAAUUUAGUAAAAAAAAUUUUUUUAUAAUAAUUAUUAGAAAAAUUAAUUACCUUAGGGAUAACAGCGUUAUAUUUUUAGAAAGAUCAUAUUGAUAAAAAUGAUUGCGA
RNAcentral lists this ribosomal RNA (280 nucleotides) under Nylanderia guatemalensis. RNAcentral's name for it is "partial large subunit ribosomal RNA". Lineage: Eukaryota; Metazoa; Arthropoda; Insecta; Hymenoptera; Formicidae. The record is from RNAcentral.